UACGUAGGGGGCAAGCGUUGUCCGGAAUCAUUGGGCGUAAAGAGCGUGUAGGCGGCCAGAAAAGUCCGCUGUGAAAACUCGAGGCUCAACUUCGAGCUGUCGGUGGAAACUUUCUGGCUAGAGUCCGGAAGAGGAGAAUGGAAUUCCUGGUGUAGCGGUGAAAUGCGCAGGUAUCAGGAAGAACACCCGUGGCGAAGGCGGUUCUCUGGGACGGUACUGACGCUGAGACGCGAAAGCGUGGGGAGCGAACAGG
Molecule: ribosomal RNA, 253 nt
Filed under: uncultured bacterium
Lineage: Bacteria
Description: partial 16S ribosomal RNA
Rfam family: Bacterial small subunit ribosomal RNA
Source: RNAcentral